This 69-nucleotide transfer RNA is filed under the name Cupriavidus alkaliphilus. RNAcentral describes it as "tRNA-Ala". Lineage: Bacteria; Pseudomonadati; Pseudomonadota; Betaproteobacteria; Burkholderiales; Burkholderiaceae. The record is from RNAcentral.
UGGGGUCAAUGGCGAUGGACGCCGGGAUGGCAAAUUCCCGUCGUCGUGGGUUCGAGUCCCAUCCAGCCA